RNAcentral lists this long non-coding RNA (696 nucleotides) under Hordeum vulgare. RNAcentral's name for it is "long non-coding RNA (HVUL_LNC005637)". Lineage: Eukaryota; Viridiplantae; Streptophyta; Magnoliopsida; Poales; Poaceae. The record is from RNAcentral.
CGGCAGCCGAGCCGUCGCCGCGGUGGCCCGGCGCCCUUGCCGAGAAGCGUCAAGAUGCAGCGGUCGUCGUCGCACGUCGGCGUGCCAUGCUCGGCGGCGGCCACGUACGCACACUACUACCCGUGGCCGGUGAAGCUGGACCGGUCCAGCGCGUCGCUCCAUGAGAGCGAGUGCGGGUCGACGAGCUCCAUCCUCACCGCGUCUACCACCGUCGGUUACAGCCGCUCCAUGGUCGGAUUCGAGGUACGCGACUGGAUCACAACUUCACAACACACACACAAACCAACACACACAUUUCUUGGUUUCUUGUGUUUCUGCAUCUGAUCGCUGACCGAUGAGAACUUCUUGAUCUUGCUUCUCGUGCUGUUUCAGGUGCACAGGAACCAGUACUGAAUCACUGGUAGCUGAAGCAAGAUAUAGUAACUCAACUUCAGAAGAAUUCAAAGAUAAUGUGCCCUGCGUGCGUGUCAAAUGUGGGCGCUCCCUGCCUUGUGAUUCGACCCCUUGCUGCGUUUCAGUAAAGUGAUCUGUUCAUAAAUCUGAACAAUCUGGCGCGGUGAAACGCCCAAAAUAAUUCGUACAACAUCAGAGUUGUAUGCUUUUCAGGAGGCUGAUAAAUAUGUUCGUGUGUUGCAGUGAGAAAAAAAAAAAUCAUGCUGCCUAUAAAUAUGAUCUAAAACACGUGUUGAAUAUUCC